This 2461-nucleotide ribosomal RNA is filed under the name Clostridioides difficile. Its description in RNAcentral is "bacterial LSU rRNA". It matches the Rfam family "Bacterial large subunit ribosomal RNA", at positions 14 to 2497 of the family's 2925-position model. Lineage: Bacteria; Bacillati; Bacillota; Clostridia; Peptostreptococcales; Peptostreptococcaceae. The record is from RNAcentral.
AGGGUGCAGGGCGGAUGCCUUGGCACUAGGAGCCGAUGAAGGACGUGAUAAGCUGCGAUAAGCUUCGGGGAGUUGCACGUAAACUUUGAUCCGAAGAUUUCCGAAUGAGGAAACUCACUUAGAGUAAUGUCUAAGUAUCAUUAAGUGAAUACAUAGCUUAAUGAGGGGAACUCAGGGAACUGAAACAUCUAAGUACCUGAAGGAAGAGAAAGAAAUUCGAUUCCGUAAGUAGCGGCGAGCGAACGCGGAUUAGCCCAAACCAAUAAAGUUUUCUUUAUUGGGGUUGCGGACAUAUCAUAACGAAGAGGUAUCGUAAUUGAAGAGGUUUGGAAAGACCCACCACAGAAGGUAAUAGUCCUGUAUGUUAAACGAGAAGACUUCAGAUAUGAUCCAGAGUACCACGGGACACGUGAAACCCUGUGGGAAGCAGGAGGGACCACCCUCCAAGGCUAAAUACUACCUAGUGACCGAUAGCGUAUAGUACCGUGAGGGAAAGGUGAAAAGAACCCCGGGAGGGGAGUGAAAUAGAACCUGAAACCCUGCACUUACAAGCUGUGGAAGCACAUUUCUUGUGUGACCGCGUACUUUUUGUAGAACGGGCCAACGAGUUACGUUAAGUAGCAAGGUUAAGCACUUAAGGUGCGGAGCCGUAGCGAAAGCGAGUUUUAACUGAGCGUUCAGUUACUUGACGUAGACCCGAAACCGGGCGACCUACCCAUGAGCAGGAUGAAGCGAAAGUAAAAUUUCGUGGAGGUCCGAACCCACGAGCGUUGAAAAGCUCGGGGAUGACUUGUGGGUAGCGGUGAAAUUCCAAUCGAGCCCGGAGAUAGCUGGUUCUCCCCGAAAUAGCUUUAGGGCUAGCCUCAAGGUGAGAGAUACGGAGGUAGAGCACUGAAUGUCCUAGGGGGUAUUGCACCUACCGAAGACUAUCAAACUCCGAAUGCCGUCAUCUUAUACUUGGGAGUCAGACUGUGGGUGAUAAGAUUCAUAGUCGAAAGGGCAACAGCCCAGAUCGUCAGCUAAGGUCCCUAAAUGUAAGUUAAGUGGUAAAGGAUGUGGGAUUGCACAGACAACCAGGAUGUUGGCUUAGAAGCAGCCACUCAUUCAAAGAGUGCGUAAUAGCUCACUGGUCGAGUGAUCCUGCGCCGAAGAUUUCCGGGGCUAAAACUUACUACCGAAGCUACGGCAUCAGUAAUGAUGGGUAGGGGAGCUUCCCAUACGGGUUGAAGCAUGACCGUAAGGACAUGUGGACAGUAUGGGAGUGAGAAUGUUGGCAUGAGUAGCGAGAUGUGGGUGAGAAUCCCACAGGCCGUAAACCCAAGGUUUCCAGGGGAAGGUUCGUCCGCCCUGGGUUAGUCGGGACCUAAGCUGAGGCCGAAAGGCGUAGGUGAUGGACAACAGGUUGAUAUUCCUGUACUACCGAUAACCGUUUGAGAGAAGGGAUGACACAGUAGGAUAAGCUAAGCACACUGUUGGUUAUGUGUGCCCAAGCAUUGAGGCAGUCAAAGUAGGCAAAUCCGCUUUGAUAAUGCUGGGAUGUGAUGGGGAGCGAAAUUUAGUAGCGAAGUAGCUGAUUUCACACUGUCAAGAAAAGUCUCUAUCGAGGUUAAAGGUACCCGUACCGCAAACCGACACAGGUGGGUGAGGAGAGUAUCCUAAGGCCAGCGAGAGAACUGUUGUUAAGGAACUCGGCAAAAUGACCCCGUAACUUAGGGAUAAGGGGUGCCACCAUCAGGUGGCCGCAGAGAAUAGGCCCAAGCGACUGUUUACCAAAAACAUAGGUUUCUGCUAAGUCGCAAGACGAUGUAUAGGAGCUGACGCCUGCCCGGUGCUGGAAGGUUAAGGGGAUCUGUUAGAGCAAUCGAAGCAGUGAACUUAAGCCCCAGUAAACGGCGGCCGUAACUAUAACGGUCCUAAGGUAGCGAAAUUCCUUGUCGGGUAAGUUCCGACCCGCACGAAAGGCGUAACGAUUUGGGCACUGUCUCAACAACAGACUCGGUGAAAUUGUAAUUCCGGUGAAGAUGCCGGAUACCUGCGACAGGACGGAAAGACCCCAUGGAGCUUUACUGUAGCUUGACAUUGGGUCUUGGUACUACAUGUACAGGAUAGGUGGGAGGCUUUGAAACCAGGACGCCAGUUUUGGCGGAGCCAUCCUUGGGAUACCACCCUUGUAGUACUGGGACUCUAACCAUAGGCCAUGAAUCUGGUCUUGGGACACUGUCAGGUGGGCAGUUUGACUGGGGCGGUCGCCUCCCAAAAGGUAACGGAGGCGCUCAAAGGUUCUCUCAGUACGGUCGGAAAUCGUACGUAGAGUGUAAAGGCAAAAGAGAGCUUGAUUGCAAGACAUACAGGUCGAGCAAGGAUGAAAAUCGGACUUAGUGAUCCGGUGGUUCUGCGUGGAAGGGCCAUCGCUCAACGGAUAAAAGCUACCCUGGGGAUAACAGGCUUAUCUCCCCCAAGA